This is a long non-coding RNA of Eriocheir sinensis (Chinese mitten crab), 3450 nucleotides long. RefSeq lists it as uncharacterized. The record is from RefSeq and is a predicted model, not a curated record. The transcript is spliced from 4 exons. Lineage: Eukaryota; Metazoa; Arthropoda; Malacostraca; Decapoda; Varunidae.
AUGUAGAUGUAGAGGUACCCAAGCACAUGCAUAAUAAUGGACCAUUGCCAGGAUCUGAUGAUAAUUUUUCUCAGUUCAAGAAGGUCACUUACAAGAAACUCCAGUUCUCAAUAGAUUCUGGAGAUAACUGUGUGAAGGUUGGGUCAAAUAUAGGUCUGAUAAAGAACAUUUUGGUUAGAAAGGAUGGAGGUGAAGUGAUGGUACUCUUUGAAUCUUUUAGUAAUAUAUCCACCUUCUUUACAAGCCCACUAAGUUCAUCAGAUUUGGGUGUUUACAAGGUAUCACAUCUUAGAGGAAGGCUUGAUAUUAUUCCACUGUCAGAAAUAAUGUGCAAAUAUGUAAUGCUGCCUUAUAAGAAUGAUUUCUUUGUUGUAAUUCCAGUGAUUCACCAGUUUAAUAGACCAUGAGUGAUGCAGAAGUUGGGGCUAUGGUACUGGAUGUGUUAGUGUCUGCUUUUUCUUUAUUUACUUAGGGUUGCAUUUUGCUUUAAAGACACUUUCGUGGUUUUGUCUUGUUUUUUCCAACAGAUGGGUGAAAUAUUUGUUUUGGUGGAAUUCCUUAAGACAAAUGAUGUGGCUGUAAUCCCUUCAUCAUGGCUAGUUAGCAAAGACAAAGCACUGUGGCCUCCAUACCUUUCCUCAACACGAAUAAACAAUGCUGUCCGCAACAGAGAUUCACCAUGUACAGAAUGGACGAAGUAUUCUGUUAAAAUCAUGUAUGAAUCAGGUACAGUAUAUAUACAUUUUUUGUUUCACAAAGGUUUUGCUAUAUUUUAUUCAGAGAUUGCUAAGAAUAGGAGUAGUUACAGUAACUGGAAUUACAUAAUUCCAGUUAUGUACUUCAUUUUCUGCUACUCUUACUAGCCAUUUCUGGACUCAUUUAAUAUUAUCAGUCAUACUUCACAGAACACUGCGGCAUCCAGUCCACCCACUGUUGGUUCAUCACCUGGGACCUGUGUGUGUCCUUGUCUGUUGUGUUCGUCAUCUGGGAUGUCUGUGGUUGUUUGUGUCUGUUGUGUCUAAUUGUGCCUUUGUUGUGAGUACCCUGUUGUGUUGUAUUCACUUAUUUCAACACGUAUCUGUGUCUUUUUCACUUCUUUCAUUACAUACUUUUUAGGAAAAUUAGAAAUAAACAAAUUACCUAUGAAUAUAGUAUGUGCUUAAUUCUUUCAUUGUGGCAGAUUUCUCAAAAACUUCAUGAACUAACCUGGUACUAGCAUAAGGCAAGUAAAAGGAAUGAUCCUGUAUGGUAACCAAUGAUAAUAAAUGAGUAAUAUUUACUAAAUUUAUCCACAGAUACAUAUGAGAGAGCAAGAGCAAAGUAACUGUUGUCAACCGCUACGUAUCAUUCUGACCUACUGACGGAGGAUUCUGAGGAUGAUAUCAUUAGCCGUUGUUCAAAAAGGAAGAGGAGAUCUCCCAGCAGAUACACUGACCAUGAAAGUUCUGAAGAGGACUGCUUUAGUUCAAGGGCUAAGACAAAAGCUUCCAGCAGUAUCAGGGAUGUGGAGGUAAAAUCCAAAGACCAGAUUGCAAGACCAGUUCCACCUAGGCCAUCUGUACCGAGCUGUAUUGUGUCACAGCCACAGCUACCACCACCUGAGAGUCUGGAUGUAAAUGCCCGAGAUGCAAGAAUCUUUAUGGUGUUGGAAGAACUACGUGCUAUACUGCAUUCCCACUCCACCAAGCUGAAUACUCUCCUCAGACACCACAGUGUGCAAGAACAAGAUCAAGCAGUACCAGAGGGCAUUCACUUCCCUGUGAAGGAUAUGAAUGAAAUGGAAGCCCUAGAAAGCAAACUGAUGGAUCCUGACCUAGAGAAGAAAGUUAUUGCAAGUCUGUAUGUAAUAGGUGGAUCAGGUCUUCCAGACACAGUGAGGCGCAUUCUGCGAUACACUGUGAGCAACUCCUUGGCCAUCCACCUCAAUUGGUGUGGCAAAGGAAUGAAACGGAGCUUUUGCACAAUGAAGCUGAAGGAUACAAUAAUUAGUAAGUGGCUUAUGAUGCAGUCACAGGCUAACAGUUAUCUCACCUAGAACAAGUAAACAAUGAAAGGGUCCAUUGGUAUACAAGACUGUAAUGUAAUGUGUUGUAUUGUUUAUCUUCAUUUGGGUUACUACGUGACCAGACACAAAUCCCUAAGGUAAAAGCAAUGGCUAGAACUACCCUACAUAUCCUUGUCUGCCAAGUGUGAUGGGAGAAAAAGUGUUUCCAUGCAGUUACAAAUAUGCAGUAAUGCUUAGUAUACAUUCCUAUAGUAUUUUUUUUCUGUGCUAUGCAUAGACUUAUGGCAUAUGCCAUACUUGAGGCUCGCCACACUGUAGCAGCUUUCCGCAAAGAUGUAUACUUGUUUGUUGAUAGCCAGGCUGCAUUACAUGAACCUGUGUCCUCCUCCCCUACAGACUGUGAUCUUGUGACUAAGUGCCUGACUGCCCUCCGUGCCCUUGAGGCCGCAGGUGCCACGGUCCACUUCACCUGGGUGCCCUUCCAUCCAGCACAAUGAAAAGGCAGACUGCCUUGCUCGACGUGCCCUUCAGGAUGACACAGUGGACCCUGACACUGACUAUACGCUUAGCUAUGUUAAGAAUAUAAUUAGGGAUUAUUUCCAUAAUAACAUUGCUACCCAACUCAGACACUGCUGUGACAAUGGUAGCACCAGCAGCCUCCAUUAUGCAAGUGUCUCCCACCACUGUUUACCCCUAUGGGCGACACAGUGCACCUCAGGAUGUGGUAGCAAUGCGUCUUAGGCUAGGCUAUAGGUACUACUGGGAGGUUAUUAACUCCCCUGUGUCUGCUGCACGCUGUGUGCCAGGCCGAGGGACACACACUGCAACACUGUCAUGGAAUGUCGGGGCCCUUUCAUUGUUUUUUUUUAAGCCACGGGACUGCCUUGACCUUAAAUGUCGUUGAUAAUAGAUCUACAUUAAAUAUAUAGGAAAAUUUUAUGUACUUUUCAUAACUCAAGCCAUCAAUUCUUUUUUUAAUUUUUCGUCUAGAUGCAAAAACAAGUGGUAAAUUCCCUUAGUUCCGCCCAAGAGAUCGCAAUGUUUUGAGUCUAUCUGCCGAUUGUAAGCUCCGCCCACAGACUCUGUAAGCUCCGCCCACUGGCUUCACUCGCCUGUAUGGGGACGGCGCGGGAGGGCGCCUCCUGUUAUAAUACCUCCAUGGUUCCACAGCGAAAUACCUCUGACGUUGAAGAACCUCUUGCGGAUCUCUAAUUCAGUUCUUAUGUGUGCAACCUUAUAUUGAUGGACUCUUGUGGUGCCUAGAGGUGGACUGACAAACAUAUCCUCGGGGGCAAUAGCACAGAAACCGUGAAAUAUUUGCCAAUACUUCACCAUGUCAUGUCGUAGCAGCCGACCAUGGACAGAGUACAAGUCCAAAGCCUUCAGUCUCUGGGAAUAACUUAGAUGCUUCAUACCUCUAAUGUUCCUGGUCCAACGUCUCUGCA